This 155-nucleotide ribosomal RNA is filed under the name Paenibacillus polymyxa. RNAcentral describes it as "partial 16S ribosomal RNA". It matches the Rfam family "Bacterial small subunit ribosomal RNA", at positions 1 to 148 of the family's 1533-position model. Lineage: Bacteria; Bacillati; Bacillota; Bacilli; Caryophanales; Paenibacillaceae. The record is from RNAcentral.
UUAAUGGAGAGUUUGAUCCUGGCUCAGGACGAACGCUGGCGGCGUGCCUAAUACAUGCAAGUCGAGCGGGGUUGUUUAGAAGCUUGCUUCUAACUAACCUAGCGGCGGACGGGUGAGUAACACGUAGGCAACCUGCCCACAAGACAGGGAUAACU